RNAcentral lists this long non-coding RNA (3248 nucleotides) under Homo sapiens (human). RNAcentral describes it as "non-protein coding lnc-ZNF782-3:2". The record is from RNAcentral. Lineage: Eukaryota; Metazoa; Chordata; Mammalia; Primates; Hominidae.
AAAUUAAAUUGUAUUGAUUUUCUCUUUUCAAUUUUAUUGAUUUCAUCUUUUACCUAUUAUUUCCUGUCCUCUGCGUGCUCUGAUUUUAUUUUGCUCUUUUUCUGGUUUCUUUAGGUGAAAGCUUAAAUUAUUGAUGUGAGACUUUUCUUCUUUUCUAAUAUAUGCUUCUAACGCUGAUUAUUUCCCUCUUCACAAUGCUUUAUCUGUAUCUUACCAUGUUUUAUAUGUUUUAUUUAUAUUUAGGUCUUUAUUAUUUUUAAUUUCCCCCAAGAUUAUAACUCAUGAGCUAUUUAGAAGAAUGCACUUCAAUUUCCAAAUGUUUGAGAACUUUCCUUUCCUUCCCAUUUUUAUGUAAUUAAAGCUUAUACUAUAGACACAUUAGAUUAAAAUUCAAUUACACUUGUUUAGUUACAUUGUAUAGGUUGUUCAAGUAUCAUUGGAGCAAACUUUUCAAAUAUUAACUUUAUGUAGUGGUUGUCAGUCUUUUGCACUUGUAGAGUGGCAAGUAAAAAAUACCCUGAAAAUAUGGCCCUCAGGCCGCUGGAGAAGCUCACAGAGACAGAAAUAGUGGGAAUUUUCUGAGUCCUCAGUGCUCAUUACUUUCUAGGCCAGCACACAGGGAUCCAACAAAGCCAGAGUUAGUGUUCAUUAAAGGGCAGUGGGAUAGAAGGAUGGAGAAUGCCCUGGUAUCACCUAGCUGGUUCUAAUGACCCAUGCAGGAUCCCAUGGUAUAAGCUGGCUUGUAACAUAACUCGUUCAAGACUCCUUCUGUGCAUUAAUGAGUGAAUCUGUAUUUGAACAUGUUCACAUGAACAGAUUGGAAGAGACGAUAAAUUUACCAUGAGCAAUCCCUUUAGGACUGGUUUUAGGAACUUACUGAUCCUGUAUUCAUCUUGGGCAUUUGUCUGUUGUAUUUGCUGUCACAGAAUGUCUUUUAAUCCCAAAUACACUUCUACAGAUACAUCCAAUACAAGUCCCUAGUCGUGAUCUUUGGAAUGAAGUAAUACAUUUCAAAGAACAUUAGAAGGAAGGACUAUGGCAGGAGAGAUGGAAUUGGUCCUUCAGAGGACUGGGAUGAAGAUGAGAAAUGAACCAGCAUUAGGACAGCCUUAGUCUCAAUACAUUUGCCUAACAUAAGUUCAAAGGGCACAGUUGUGUGCACAAAGUAUCCUUGAUGACAUCAUAACUCAGAAUUCAGUAAAACAGCUCAUCAGGUCCCUCACAGGGGAUGUGCUAGGGUGGUGGCCACUCUUGAGACUCUGUGCCCAGUGAUGAAAAAUAGUAUGAAGGUUGUUUAAAAACGAAAAAUAGAAUUACCAUACUAUUCAACAAUCUUACUUCUCAGUAUAUAACCUAAAGAAUUAAAGGCAGGAUCUCAAAAAGAUAUUUGCACACCCAUGUUUAUUGCAGCAUUAUUCACAAUAGCCAAGAGAUAAAAGCAAUCGAAAUAACUUUGGUGGAUGAAAGGAUAAAAUAUGGUGUAUAUAUGUGUAUUUGUGUAAAUAUAUAUAAAGACUAAGCAGCCUUCAGAAAGAAGGAAACCAUGUCACAUGCUAGAUAGAACAUGGGUGAACCUCAAGAACAUUAUGCUAAGUGAAAUAAGCCAAUCACAAAAAGACAGAUUUUUUUUUUUCAUAUGAAGUAUUUAAAGUAGUCAAAAUCACAGUAGUGGUUGCCAAGAGCUGGGAGUGGGAGUGGUGGUGGUGGGAUUAGUGUUUAAUAUGUACAGAACUUUAGUUUUGGAAGAUGAAAAAUUUCUAAAGAUUAAGAAGUAAGAAUAUACUUAACGGGAGACUAUUUCUGCAAAUUAUAUCCUGUAAAGGAUUUAAAAAUAUAUAUAUAUAAAUAAAAUAUAUAUUUUCUUUUUAUUUUAUAUAUAAUAUAUAUAUUUUUUUCUUUUUUCUUUUUCUUUAUUUUAUAUAUAUUAUAUAUAUAAUAUAUAUAAUAUAUAUGUAAUUAUAUAUAUAUUACAUAUAUAUAUAAUUCACAGUAGCCAAAAAGUGAAAACAACCCAAAUGUUCAUCACCUGAUGAAUGAAUAAGUUUCAGGAUAUCCACCAAUGGAAUAUUAUUCAGCAAUAAAAAGGUUUGAUGUAAUGAUAGAUGCUAAAAACAUGGAUGAACCUUGGAAAUAUUUAAAGUAAAAUAAGACAGGUGUGAAAGACAUACAUUGUAUGAUUCCAUUCAUAUGCAAGUCCAGAGCAUGUAAAGCUAUAUAGAAAGUCAGUUCGUGGUUAUGUAGGCCUAGGAUGUAGAUCGGUGGGGGGCAGGGAGUGAUAGCUAAAGGACAAGGGGUUUUUUUUCUUCUUCAUUUUUUGAGAUGGAGUCUCACUCUGUCACCCAGGCUGGAGUGCAGCGGCACAAUCUUGGCUCACUGCAACCUCCGCCUCUCCGGUUCAAGCGAUUCUCCUGCUUCAGCCUCUCAUGUAGCUGGGAUCACAUGUGUGCCACCAUGCCCAGCUGAUUUUUGUAUUUUUAGUAGAGGCGGGGUUUCACCAUGUUGGCCAGGCUGGUCUCGAACUCUUCACCUCAAGUGAUUCACUCACCUCGGCCUCCCAAAGUGUUGGGAUUACAGGCGUGAGCCACUGCACCCAGCCUAGGGGUUUUCUUUUUGAGGUGAUAAAAAUGUUCUAAAGUUUAUAGUGAUGAUGCUUGCAAUUUCUAUAAGUAGACUUAAUGCAGUGAUGGUUGCAAAUUCUAUAAAUAUAUUUAAUGUGGUGAUGGUUGCAAAUUCUAUGAAAAACCCAAAUUGUACAAUUUCAAUGAGUGAAAGCAUGCUAUGUGAAUGUCUUCAUAAAGGUUUUAUUUAAAAAAUGAGCAAACGGUAGAAUGUUAACAUGGCCCACGUCUAUGUGGUGUCUAUAUUGGUUUCUAUUAUAUGUUUUCUAUGUGGUUGAAACAUUCCUAAUAAAAUGUGCAUAGUUUUUUAAAAAAGAAAACACAUCAGUGGACGUGAAUGCAGGAUGUCUUAUGAAUGCUCACACAGAAGCUCCCAUUCGUGAGGAAUGCAGGGAAAAGCAGAAGAUGGAGUAGGAGUUGGCAUGGCCCAGCUAGCUCAGAUGACACACGAUGGUCCCAGUGGCAUGACUUGGUUUGUGUGAUUUGUGCCUUGGGGUUUUAUUUUGGCACAUUAUAAAGGAGUAAAUAAAGCCUGUAUACAGUCAGUUUCUGUCUAUUCUAAUGAAGGGCAAGGGGAUGAAGGGAUUUACCUUGAGUAACCAUCCACUUACAUUUAUUAGGAAUCUUGUG